Molecule: long non-coding RNA, 3664 nt
Organism: Bradysia coprophila
Lineage: Eukaryota; Metazoa; Arthropoda; Insecta; Diptera; Sciaridae
Source: RefSeq, a predicted model, not a curated record
AAAGACCUUCUUAUUUCUUUGUUUGUGGAAUCAUACACUGUUGACUAAUUUCUAAUUUUACAUGUAAAAUGCAAAGUAUACGUUGCCUUUUUACCACCGUAAUUCAUGUUAGGUAGGUUGCUUGAGAGGGUAUAGGUUCUUGUCAUGGUAGAAAAUUUUGCAUCUGACAAUUUCGCAUUGCUCUGUUAAUCAGGCUUUAAAUCUCUACACAGGUCAACUCAGCUUAACCGUCAAUACAGCAAUGUAUCACUGAAGUGUGCAAUGGAAAGCCACUGACAUCGACGACAGAUCAAACUAAUUUCUACAUCAUAAACCGAAGCGAUAGCGGAGGUUUGUGAUAUUGUAUAGCCAAAAGUUCUACAAUUUUCUGCAAAUUAUAGAUAAGGUUGCGGACGUGUACCAUUAGCCUGACACCUAUUGUUCAUAGAUUGUUGAUAAACUUAUGAAUGAACGAACAAUAUAUGUACGACUAUUCUAUUCUAUAAAAUUUUCGGAAAAUCUUAGAAACCCUUUUUAAGAAAAAAGGCCUUGAUCUAUUGUCUAGGUCUCUAGGAGGCGAUUGAGUUAAUUCUGCAUAACCUGAACUGGACCUAUUCUGAAUCUUAAUUUUCUUUUCUUUUUCUUAAAUAGAACAGGGUUUGUUAAUGAUAAAAUUAAUAAAAAAAAAGAUGUGACAAACGGCUUCAGAUUUGUAUUUUUAAUGAUUACAAUAAUAUACUGUAGAACUGAUGGUUAUAUUUACUUAAAUUUGACUAAACUUUUACCAAAAUACUAACUAGUCAAUAUCAAGAUUUUACUAUCAAUAUUAUAGUUUAGAGCCAUUUGUAUAAAAAAAAUGAAAAUUACUACACCUUUUUAUAGAUGUCUGUCUAUAUUUAUCCGUAUAUAUUAUAAUAAAGUUACCAGAUAUCAUCUUUGAAAAUCCUGAAUUAGGCUAGAGUAAUUCAAUUCUUCAAACUAAAAAAAAAUUGUGAAAAAUAAAACCAAAAACAAAAUAUUUAAAUGAUAUAAUCAAAAACACAGUCAAAAUAUCAAUAAGAAGUACACACUUAGAGACUUAGACUAUAACAUUCGAUGGGAAAUGGAAUAAAAAAGUCGGUUUAUCGUUUUUAGUAUGAUCAGUGACAAAGCACCUAGCAUAGUAAUAGAAUACUGCCUAUGUCAAAUAGAUGAAUUUUUAUUCUAAUCGCAUGACCAUGACCUUAAAAUAGUGUAAAAUUGUGAAAUUACAUGGUACAUUGUCGUGACUGACUACUCUCUUUUUUCUAUCGCUAUGCUUGGUGUUUCGUCUAUGGCCAACAGAUUCGGAAGCAUUAAAUGAAACAAUCAGAGCUGUCAUGACGACCAACGCUUUACCAAAUUGUGGAAUUUGGUAAGAUUUGACUCAUGGGACGAACGACUAAGUCACCUUAUAGGUGCGAUAACGAUAUACAUAAUGUGCAAUCAAAGUUAUUAACAUAAACGAAUUACUCUCAUGUUUCUGCACGUGUUAUAUCUGAUAGUUACGUGAUUCCAUCAAAGCAGUAAAUAACAUAGCUACCUGUAGAGAGAAACUCUCCACAGGUUUCAAUUCACAUUUUCCAAACAUGCUAAACGAUGUAAUUGAGUGAGUGAAUCGAACUGUUAGUUGUAAGGAGUUUGACUCACAAUUUGUUUUAACCGGUGUUACAAGAAAGGUAGUCAAGUCCGAUGAAGAUAAUCUUUUGAAUUCUCCGUUCAUUUUUGGCCCAUUUUUUCAUGGGCUUACUCAGCUCCGAAUGAUGCACACGAUGUGGAUACUGUCAAAAAGUGUUCUGUAUCAAUUCUAUCAAUUGCAGUCCAAUUAGUUAUAUAAAUUCGAUAUGUGAUAAAUAUCGACAUUACAAUAUAUUCUAUACAAGCGCUACGUUCUGUAGUGUUGAUAUUUUAUGUGGAAUAAAUCGGAUCGAAUUAGCAUACAAUUGUAGAAGCGAUAAUUUCAUAAUAGGCGCUCUCAUUCAGGUUCAUUUGCAUUUCAUCAUUGCUCACCACACAAAUUAGUUAUCAUUGGAACAAACUGAUAUUCAAUGAAACAUUGUAGUCGAGGUAACUUAAUUUUUUUGUUGACGAGCGUAGUCCACGAGAAGUUAUAUACUCGGCGAGUGACAUCUGUUAGAAAGAAAAAGGAAAGGAUCUAGAGAAGAAAAUUUUAUGAGGAAUUUAGAAUCUUGUCAAGUGUAGACUUUGGAGACGUUUAGAUUCGUGACGAUGUCACACCCUUGGAGUUCAGAGCUUCAAAGUUAACCAUCGAGAAGUUCAAUUUCUUGAGAAGAGUUAAUUUCCUUAAGGAAUACUGAACCUUCAGUAGUUUAGACUCUUCAUAAAUUUAUAUCCUUCCAUAGCACUUCUCCUAGCAUUAAAAUCGAAAAUAUUAGUAGGCAGAUGAAAUCACCACUGCAUCAUUGCGGCUAGGAGUCAAGCAUUGUAAGUAAAAACACUCAAUGUAUACAAUUGUACAUGUUUGAAUGUAUGAAUGUAUCGAGGGUAUACUUUGACGUUUGAAGUACGAGUGUUAAUGCUAACAGCAGUGCUAUGACGCUUCAUGAAGUUAGAAAACAAAAUUGGUAGAGAAAGUUUCAGUAUUGUAUCUGCCUAUGCUUAUUUAUACAAAAAAGAACUUAUCGUUGAAGUGCACUCUACUUCACAUCAGACAAGUUUGCAAAAUAACUUUACGAUAGUUCUUCCUGCAAAGAAAAAAAUCUUACCUUACUUUUAACAAAAUCAUUUAAUUUAAACGUUUUUCAAUUAAAAUGUUGCACUAGACAAUGUCUUCUGACAAUGGAAAAAAUAUUCCAUUAAAUCUCGUUACUCUCAUUCGAGUUUCAUAAGAUUUCUGAUCGGCAACUAAACGUUUAAUGAACGAAAAAAGUUUCUUUACAUUCGUGCUUCACAAUACUACACACAGAACAUUUGUGUCAGUCAGUAUACCUCCCAAACACGUAGAUAAAUAUUUAUAAUCUUCUGAUGGAAAACAGAACAACUUAGAUGGAAAAUGUUUUCCAUUCACCGGAGGAUGAUGGUUGUGGGGCAUUGAAUAAAAACGCCGCAAAGUUUCAACACAACAACAACAAAAAUAAUAUUUUACCUAAAAAUAAAAUGAUAUCGGUCGAAAAGUUUGCUACAAUGCCGGCAAUGGAAGUUAAAAACGAUAAACUGAAAGCCAUAGGAAAAAGGUGUAUGUGUGUUCGAUAUGUGCUUAUUCAACCGUUCCCGAUAUUAUGCAACCACACACAACCGUUCCGAUAUAAAAUUGAACGGGAAAAAAGUAUUGUCGAACAAGUUAAGUCUGAGAGAUAUUUAUGUACAUUCCUUUGGAAUUAAAUGAUAAUAUAUUAUUGUGUGUAACUUUAAGACUUUUCGCAAUGAAUUGAAUAUUUAAAAAAGAAAAAAAAAUGAUAAUAAACGAACCGAAAAAGCAUAUUGAUUUUUAUUGAGGUACCUACAUCCAUAUAUAGAUUAUACAUACACAUUCAUCUCUAUACUAUAUUAUAAAUUACAUUGUGAUCGAUAUAGCUAUUCUCUCUUCAUGUAAAAGAUUGAAAGAUUUAAUUUUUGGUAUCGAUAUAGGUAGCAGAUACAGCUAAAAAUUGAAUCAACUUCAAUCCUAACUAUGUUUUUAGUUCUAUUUUAUAAGACAUUAUAUCAA